UGGGGUGUGGCUCAGUGGUAGAGCACUUGCCUCCCACCUGUGAGGCACUGGGGUCGAUCCUCAGCACCACAU
Molecule: non-coding RNA, 72 nt
Organism: Ictidomys tridecemlineatus (thirteen-lined ground squirrel)
Lineage: Eukaryota; Metazoa; Chordata; Mammalia; Rodentia; Sciuridae
Source: Rfam